AGCUCCAAUAGCGUAUAUUAAAGUUGCUGCGGGCAACAAGCUCGCAGUUGGAUUUCUGCCGAGGACGACCGGUCCGCCCUCUGGGUGAGCAUCUGGCUCGGCCUGGGCAUCUUCUUGGAGAACGUAUCUGCACUUGGCUGUGUGGUGCGGUAUUCAGGACUUCUACAGUGAGGAAAUUAGAGUGUUUCCAGCAGGCUCACGCCUUGAAUACAUUAGCAUGGAAUAAUAAGAUAGGACAUCGGUUCUAUGUUGUUGGUUUCUAGAUCGGAGGUAAUGAUUAAUAGGGAUCGUUGGGGGGCAUUCGUACUUAACUGUCAGAGGUGAAAUUCUUGGAUUUGUUAAAGACGGAGUACUGCGAAAGCAUUUGCCAAGGAUGUUUUCAUUGAUCAAGAACGAAAGU
RNAcentral lists this ribosomal RNA (400 nucleotides) under phytoplankton environmental sample. RNAcentral describes it as "partial small subunit ribosomal RNA". It matches the Rfam family "Eukaryotic small subunit ribosomal RNA", at positions 587 to 990 of the family's 1831-position model. The record is from RNAcentral.